Molecule: ribosomal RNA, 566 nt
Filed under: uncultured bacterium
Lineage: Bacteria
Description: partial 16S ribosomal RNA
Rfam family: Bacterial small subunit ribosomal RNA
Source: RNAcentral
UGGGGAAUUUUGGACAAUGGGGGAAACCCUGAUCCAGCCAUCCCGCGUGUGCGAUGAAGGCCUUCGGGUUGUAAAGCACUUUUGGCAGGAAAGAAACGUCGCGGGUUAAUACCCCGCGAAACUGACGGUACCUGCAGAAUAAGCACCGGCUAACUACGUGCCAGCAGCCGCGGUAAUACGUAGGGUGCAAGCGUUAAUCGGAAUUACUGGGCGUAAAGCGUGCGCAGGCGGUUCGGAAAGAAAGAUGUGAAAUCCCAGAGCUUAACUUUGGAACUGCAUUUUUAACUACCGGGCUAGAGUGUGUCAGAGGGAGGUGGAAUUCCGCGUGUAGCAGUGAAAUGCGUAGAUAUGCGGAGGAACACCGAUGGCGAAGGCAGCCUCCUGGGAUAACACUGACGCUCAUGCACGAAAGCGUGGGGAGCAAACAGGAUUAGAUACCCUGGUAGUCCACGCCCUAAACGAUGUCAACUANCUGUUGGGGCCUUCGGGCCUUGGUAGCGCAGCUAACGCGUGAAGUUGACCGCCUGGGGAGUACGGUCGCAAGAUUAAAACUUAAAUGAAUUGAC